RNAcentral lists this ribosomal RNA (279 nucleotides) under uncultured prokaryote. Its description in RNAcentral is "partial 16S ribosomal RNA". It matches the Rfam family "Bacterial small subunit ribosomal RNA", at positions 505 to 783 of the family's 1533-position model. The record is from RNAcentral.
GUGUCAGCAGCCGCGGUAAUACGUAGGUGGCAAGCGUUAUCCGGAAUUAUUGGGCGUAAAGCGCGCGUAGGCGGUUUUUUAAGUCUGAUGUGAAAGCCCACGGCUCAACCGUGGAGGGUCAUUGGAAACUGGAAAACUUGAGUGCAGAAGAGGAAAGUGGAAUUCCAUGUGUAGCGGUGAAAUGCGCAGAGAUAUGGAGGAACACCAGUGGCGAAGGCGACUUUCUGGUCUGUAACUGACGCUGAUGUGCGAAAGCGUGGGGAUCAAACAGGAUUAGAU